This is a regulatory RNA element of Shimwellia blattae, 77 nucleotides long. It matches the Rfam family "ABC transporter regulator". From Rfam's summary of the family: DapZ sRNA, encoded in the 3'-UTR of the conserved dapB gene, as a translational repressor with a GcvB-like seed domain. This is the first example of a widely conserved bacterial gene whose 3'-UTR has dual function. The record is from Rfam. Lineage: Bacteria; Pseudomonadati; Pseudomonadota; Gammaproteobacteria; Enterobacterales; Enterobacteriaceae.
CUAACCCAUCUUGAUGUGGUUAUUUCAGUCAUUAAGUGAUUGAUUGUCAGGGCAAUAAUUUAUUGCCCUUUUUAUUU